RNAcentral lists this ribosomal RNA (153 nucleotides) under Yersinia frederiksenii. Its description in RNAcentral is "partial 16S ribosomal RNA". It matches the Rfam family "Bacterial small subunit ribosomal RNA", at positions 1 to 147 of the family's 1533-position model. The record is from RNAcentral. Lineage: Bacteria; Pseudomonadati; Pseudomonadota; Gammaproteobacteria; Enterobacterales; Yersiniaceae.
AAAUUGAAGAGUUUGAUCAUGGCUCAGAUUGAACGCUGGCGGCAGGCCUAACACAUGCAAGUCGAGCGGCAGCGGAAAGUAGUUUACUACUUUGCCGGCGAGCGGCGGACGGGUGAGUAAUGUCUGGGAAACUGCCUGAUGGAGGGGGAUAAC